GCAGCAGCCGCGGUAAUACGGAGGGGGCUAGCGUUGUUCGGAAUUACUGGGCGUAAAGCGCACGUAGGCGGCUUGGUAAGUUAGAGGUGAAAGCCUGGAGCUCAACUCCAGAAUUGCCUUUAAGACUGCCGAGCUAGUAGGUGAGAGAGGUAAGUGGAAUUCCGAGUGUAGAGGUGAAAUUCGUAGAUAUUCGGAAGAACACCAGUGGCGAAGGCGGCUUACUGGCUCAUUCUAGACGCUGAGGUGCGAAAGCGUGGGGAGCAAACAGGAUUAGAGACCCGUGUAGUCCCUGUCUCUUAUAC
This 302-nucleotide ribosomal RNA is filed under the name uncultured bacterium. Its description in RNAcentral is "partial 16S ribosomal RNA". It matches the Rfam family "Bacterial small subunit ribosomal RNA", at positions 508 to 807 of the family's 1533-position model. The record is from RNAcentral.